RNAcentral lists this ribosomal RNA (464 nucleotides) under uncultured bacterium. RNAcentral's name for it is "partial 16S ribosomal RNA". It matches the Rfam family "Bacterial small subunit ribosomal RNA", at positions 339 to 795 of the family's 1533-position model. The record is from RNAcentral.
CUACGGGUUGCUCCAGUGGGGAAUAUUGCACAAUGGGCGCAAGCCUGAUGCAGCCAUGCCGCGUGUAUGAAGAAGGCCUUCGGGUUGUAAAGUACUUUCAGCAGGGAGGAAGGGAGUAAAGUUAAUACCUUUGCUCAUUGACGUUACCCGCAGAAGAAGCACCGGCUAACUCCGUGCCAGCAGCCGCGGUAAUACGGAGGGUGCAAGCGUUAAUCGGAAUUACUGGGCGUAAAGCGCACGCAGGCGGUUUGUUAAGUCAGAUGUGAAAUCCCCGGGCUCAACCUGGGAAGUGCAUCUGAUACUGGCAAGCUUGAGUCUCGUAGAGGGGGGUAGAAUUCCAGGUGUAGCGGUGAAAUGCGUAGAGAUCUGGAGGAAUACCGGUGGCGAAGGCGGCCCCCUGGACGAAGACUGACGCUCAGGUGCGAAAGCGUGGGGAGCAAACAGGAUUAGAUACCCCAGUAGUC